GAGGCAGGGUCACAGAUGAGGCAAUGGCUAUGCUGCUCCAUUAUGCCCUACUGCUGUCUGGCUGAGUGACAUUGGGCAGGUGUGGAUACACUACACCCUCCCCUUGGGACCACCUACAUCUGUUUUGAAAUGGACACACUGCAAGAUCGCCUAUGUUCAGAUUCCGCAAAAGUAUCUAUUAUCAAUGAAAGGCUAGAGGACACACCUGUCAGGAAGCCAGACCAGAACUCUGUUGUCUCUCAUAAACAAGAACAGAGCAGCAACAGGAAACUCCUGACUCAUCCAGAUACAACUAAGUCUAGAGCUAUCU
Molecule: long non-coding RNA, 310 nt
Organism: Rhineura floridana
Lineage: Eukaryota; Metazoa; Chordata; Lepidosauria; Squamata; Rhineuridae
Exons: 3
Source: RefSeq, a predicted model, not a curated record